CACCGCGGUUAUACGAGUGACACAAACUAAUAUUCCACGGCGUUAAGGGUGAUUAAAACAAAUCUUUAUAAAAAUAAAGUUAAGACAACAUCAAACUGUUAUACGUUCUCAUGUUUAAAAACAUCACCUACGAAAGUAACUUUAUGCAAAAAAGAAUUUUUGAUUUCACGAUAGUUAAGACCCAAACUAGGAUUAGAUACCCUACUAUGCUUAACCGUAAACAUUGUAUUACAACAUUACCUUAAAUACCGCCCGAAUACUACAAGCGCUAGCUUAAAACCCAAAGGACUUGGCGGUACUCCAAACCCACCUAGAGGAGCCUGUUCUAUGACCGAUAAUCCGCGUUCAACCUCACCACUUCUUGCUCUUUCCGCCUAUAUACCGCCGUCGUCAGCUCACCCUAUGAAGGUUUAACAGUAAGCACAAUGACCUAUCCCCAGUACGUCAGGUCGAGGUGUAGCGAAUGAAGUGGGAAGAAAUGGGCUACAUUCUCUUUACAGAGAAACACGAACAGAAGUAUGAAAAACUUCUUAAAGGUGGAUUUAGUAGUAAGUAAAAUUUAGAACAUUAUACUGAAACUGGCUCUGGAGUGCGCACACACCGCCCGUCACUCUCCUCGAGAAUAACUACCCAUUUUAUAAAAAGAAUUAAAAACAAGAGGAGGCAAGUCGUAA
RNAcentral lists this ribosomal RNA (674 nucleotides) under Brevitrygon imbricata (Bengal whipray). RNAcentral describes it as "partial 12S ribosomal RNA". It matches the Rfam family "Bacterial small subunit ribosomal RNA", at positions 513 to 1491 of the family's 1533-position model. Lineage: Eukaryota; Metazoa; Chordata; Chondrichthyes; Myliobatiformes; Dasyatidae. The record is from RNAcentral.